CAGUCGCCACGGGAAUACGGAGGGUGCAAGCGUUAAUCGGAAUUACUGGGCGUAAAGCGCACGCAGGCGGUCUGUCAAGUCAGAUGUGAAAUCCCCGGGCUUAACCUGGGAACUGCAUUUGAAACUGGCAGGCUGGAGUCUUGUAGAGGGGGGUAGAAUUCCAGGUGUAGCGGUGAAAUGCGUAGAGAUCUGGAGGAAUACCGGUGGCGAAGGCGGCCCCCUGGACAAAGACUGACGCUCAGGUGCGAAAGCGUGGGGAGCAAACAGGAUUAGAUACCCCGGUAGUCCCUGUCUCUUAUAC
Molecule: ribosomal RNA, 301 nt
Filed under: uncultured bacterium
Lineage: Bacteria
Description: partial 16S ribosomal RNA
Rfam family: Bacterial small subunit ribosomal RNA
Source: RNAcentral